ACACACUUUAAUGUUAUCCUAAUUUCAUCACAUACUUUAUUUUAUUAGAGUAAAUAAGAUGUGGCAGAGUGAUAAGGAUACUCCUAAAGUCUACCUUGGUGAACUUCCUAAGUUUCAUACACUCAUAUUUGCAGGCUCACUGCAGCUUAGAAAUGGCACAAAAUCCACAGAAGACAUACCCAUACCCAUGCACAUGAUGAAAGUGGCUUUGCUUGACAAAAAAAAAAAAAAAAAAAGAAAGAAAAAAAAGAAAAAAGAAAAAAAAAAAGAAAGAAGAAGAAAAAGAAACAAACAAAAAUUUCCUCCUUAAGAACUAGGAGUGGUCUCUUGAGACUGUUUUGCUGGAUUUGGUAGACUGCUAUGUGCAAAGAUCACAUUCUUGAGGUUGUGGUCGUGCUAAAGGGGUAAGAACAGAGGAAGAGGAAAGAUUCUGAACAAAGAAGAUUUAAGUUGACUAGCAGGGAGAAAAAUCUUCACAGAGGAGUCUGUAAAUUCAAGAGAAGUGGUGGGAGUCCUCACUGGAAUACUUGGAGAAGAACUACACAGAAUAACAGAGGCCCUUCUGUGGGGAACCAUCUCAAGUUGGCAGUUGCUCAGACAAGUCCACCCACCGGGACCAGAGGCACUUACAGGCUCCAUGGCUCUCUGAGCUUCUGGUAAGUACUCCCUGCCUACCAUCUCUCAGGAAAAUGGCCUGCGAGCCCCUAAGUCCUUCUCAUGCAACAGAUUCCCACCCGUGCUCUGUUGCACCUGAAACUGAGCAAGCAUGAGAACCCUUGAAAAGAAUCCUAUGAGCUCAUUGAUUUUAUCCAUACAGAUAUCUUUUUUUCUUCACAAAAUAUUUGUACAAAAGUAGCAUUUCCAUCCCCUGUCAUCAGCUAAUAAAUCUAGUAUUUUCUUAGGGUUCUAUUCA
This 913-nucleotide long non-coding RNA is filed under the name Sus scrofa (pig). RNAcentral's name for it is "lncRNA (ENSSSCG00015026109.1)". The record is from RNAcentral. Lineage: Eukaryota; Metazoa; Chordata; Mammalia; Artiodactyla; Suidae.